RNAcentral lists this ribosomal RNA (1129 nucleotides) under Wolbachia pipientis. Its description in RNAcentral is "bacterial SSU rRNA". It matches the Rfam family "Bacterial small subunit ribosomal RNA", at positions 281 to 1428 of the family's 1533-position model. The record is from RNAcentral. Lineage: Bacteria; Pseudomonadati; Pseudomonadota; Alphaproteobacteria; Rickettsiales; Anaplasmataceae.
CUAUAGCUGAUCUGAGAGGAUGAUCAGCCACACUGGAACUGAGAUACGGUCCAGACUCCUACGGGAGGCAGCAGUGGGGAAUAUUGGACAAUGGGCGAAAGCCUGAUCCAGCCAUGCCGCAUGAGUGAAGAAGGCCUUCGGGUUGUAAAGCUCUUUUAGUGAGAAAGAUAAUGACGGUACUCACAGAAGAAGUCCUGGCUAACUCCGUGCCAGCAGCCGCGGUAAUACGGAGAGGGCUAGCGUUAUCCGGAAUUAUUGGGCGUAAAGAGCGCGUAGGCUGAUUAGUAAGUUAAAAGUGAAAUCCCAGAGCUUAACUUUGGAAUUGCUUUUAAAACUGCUAAUCUAGAGAUUGAAAGAGGAUAGAGGAAUUCCUAGUGUAGAGGUGAAAUUCGUAAAUAUUAGGAGGAACACCAGUGGCGAAGGCGUCUAUCUGGUUCAAAUCUGACGCUGAGGCGCGAAGGCGUGGGGAGCAAACAGGAUUAGAUACCCUGGUAGUCCACGCUGUAAACGAUGAAUGUUAAAUAUGGGAAGUUUACUUUCUGUAUUACAGCUAACGCGUUAAACAUUCCGCCUGGGGACUACGGUCGCAAGAUUAAAACUCAAAGGAAUUGACGGGGACCCGCACAAGUGGUGGAGCAUGUGGUUUAAUUCGAUGCAACGCGAAAAACCUUACCACUCCUUGACAUGGAAAUCAUACCUAUUUGAAGGAAUAGGGUCGGUUCGGCCGGAUUUCACACAGGUGUUGCAUGGCUGUCGUCAGCUCGUGUCGUGAGAUGUUGGGUUAAGUCCCGCAACGAGCGCAACCCUCAUCCUUAGUUACCAUCAGGUUAUGCUGGGGACUUUAAGGAAACUGCCAGUGAUAAACUGGAGGAAGGUGGGGAUGAUGUCAAGUCAUCAUGGCCCUUAUGGAGUGGGCUGCACACGUGCUACAAUGGUGAUUACAAUGGGCUGCAAAGUCGUAAGGCUGAGCUAAUCCUAAAAAAUCAUCUCAGUUCGGAUUGUUCUCUGCAACUCGAGAGCAUGAAGUUGGAAUCGCUAGUAAUCGUGGAUCAGCAUGCCACGGUGAAUACGUUCUCGGGUCUUGUACACACUGCCCGUCACGCCAUGGGAAUUGGUUUCACUCGAAGCU